Molecule: long non-coding RNA, 945 nt
Filed under: Camelus dromedarius (Arabian camel)
Lineage: Eukaryota; Metazoa; Chordata; Mammalia; Artiodactyla; Camelidae
Description: lncRNA (ENSCDRG00005007303.1)
Source: RNAcentral
GGCAAAGGCUGCAGUAUUCUGCCCAGUGUGAGUCACGCUGACUGGCCUCUGGAAGACGUGUUCCAUGAGGAACCACUGCGAGGUCCCUCGCCCACAAUCCCAUGGUGGCAGGGACAGCAGCAGGGGUUCCGGUCCAGAGCCCUCCUUCCACUGUACCACUUCAGAGACAUCCUGAAAGGGAUGGUGUGGGGGUGUGGUGAGAGGGAGAAGAGGCGGGGAGGCAGGAAGAGCAGUGAGGAAGCUGUGGAGAGGGAGGCUGACAGUCAGGAGCAGUGGGAAUGAGGGCAGGGAAUGGUGUGGAGAAAUGUUUAGAGGUGGCGUCCCUGGGACGUGCCCAAGUGAGGAACACAAGAGGAGGCACGGGUAUGGGGUAAAAUGACACGUGAGCUUGGGUUGAGACCUGUUGCACCAGAGGUGCCUAUGGGACAUCAAGGUGACAACGGCUUAUGGGUAGAGCUCUGGAGGGAGAUCUGGGUUAGAGGGAGAGAGGGAUUUGGGAACAGCAGCCUUGGCUGUGAGAUUGGAUGGGCUGUUAGGGGAAAGAGGGUGUCAGGGGUCAGAUCCUGAUUCACGGGAGAGCCACAGCCCCAAGAGAGAAUAUUCAGGGUCAGGCUGCUGGUUCCAGAAGAGUUAAGUCAUAAGGCCCCUCAGUCCCCACAACCCUCCCCCCAGGAGCCAGCGGUGACAGCUGAGGCCAUGUGAGUCGGAUCCUGAAUGAGGCUUUAUCUCUGGGUCUUCAUCCAGUCCCAUCGUCCACCGUGGCACCAGCUCCCUCGGCCAGCUGGGAUGGAACAGGCAACCGAAAAAGGCAGAGCCAGAGAGGUGAUGCUGACUAUCCCCUGGACCGUGAGAGGAACAGGACUCUGGGCCUCUAGCUGCCACGCAGGUGGUGGGGGCUCCAGGCUGUGAUCAGUGCCUCUGACCACUGACGCUGCCCUCUGCCCU